UCUAAUGGAAAAAAAACUAAUUAUAAAAUAUUAUUAGGAUUACUUUUCCCUUGCUUUUGAAUAGCAUUUCUCAAGUUUGCAGUAUACCAUUAUUCUAGUAUCUUUAGUGCCUAUUUGUAAAUGUAAAUGUAAUAGGUAACUUAACUUAAAGCCACUACUGUCCUUUAGCAAAACACUAAUUGGCAAAUUGUAUCUGCAUUAUCAUACCAGUAUGUAAUAUAGCUCCUGAAAAUGAACUGAAAUCGAAUUCCAGCACUGGUAAGGCACUCCCAAGAAGAUAAUAUCACACUGAAAAUAUGCCUUAAAUUUCCCCAAAUUCAAUUUCUCAACAUUUUUUUCUCAUAGUGUCCAUAUACCUUUGAAUUCUUUACCCUUAAUUAGUACAGUACAAAUCAAACCUAUUACCAUUUAUUAGUGAUUUUAAAACUUUACAGGGAGAGAAGCUUCAAAAAUUUUGUUAAAUAAUUCUGAACCCAGAAUCUAAGAACUUUAAAAAUACUUUUUGAUUGUUUAAAAAAGUUUUGAUCGUUGCUGACAGCAGAACAUAUAAAGUAUUGCUAUUUAGCUUUCUGGCAGUAAGUACUACUUAUGCUUUUAAAAAUGAUGUAGUUGUUUUAUAUAAUUAUUAUGCUAAAUUUAGUGAAAAGCCUUGAUCUGUCCUUGAACAGUUUUACACACAUACACACACAAACAUAAUGGCAAAUAAAAAUAAAUUGAUUUUUAAAUCUACAGAUGAUCACCAUUAGCCCUUUACUCUUAAAUAACAUUAAUGGGAUAAAUUGGUACAUAAUAUAUUUGUUCAGUUCAUUGUAGCUUCACUAGUCAUUGAUGUUUUUAUUAGUGUACAUUUUCCUCCAUGCAUAAGUUAAGCCAAAGUUAAACCUAGAUAUUCCAUUUUAAGUAAAAAUAGACUGAGUGACAUUUUUAGAUUUCUCCAAGUACUAUCUUUUGAAGUUCUUUUCUGUGGUAUAUGCUGCAGGGGCCAUUGGUCUGGAUGCUUGACUCCUGAGGAAACUGGAACCCUCAAAGAUUCCCAGAACCACCUUCAAGGUUUUCAUUAAAAAUUGCUAAAACCUUGGCUGAAAUCCAGAUACACCGUGUCUACAGCAUUCUCCUGUUCAGUCUAGCAGCCUUGUCGAAAAAGGAGAUGAGGUUAAACAACCCCAGUUCCUUUAAUUCACUGUCAUAUGGCAUGGUCUCCCAUCCUCUUCUCAUACUGGUUGCUCUCUCUGGAUGGACUUCAGGUUGUUAUUAUCUUCCCCUAAAUGUAGCGCCAAAUACAAUACUUGAGACGUGUGGUAUGACCAGGGUAGAAUCCAGCACAACUUCCCUCUCCCUCUUUCUGGAUACACUGCUAAUAAAACCUAAGAUAGCAUUAGAUUUUGUUACUGCCUUGUCAUACUAUUGACUUAUAUUGAAUGUGCUUUUCUUAAAAAUCCACAGAUCAUUUUCAUGUGAACUGUUGUCUAAACAUAUCUCCCGUAUCUUAUACUUGUGAAAUUGUUUGUUUUUUUCUAAACAAACUUUGGGAUUUGUCUCAUUUGGCAUUUUGUCUCAGUAAACUUGCUUGGUUGUUCUCCUUGA
Molecule: non-coding RNA, 1584 nt
Organism: Phascolarctos cinereus (koala)
Lineage: Eukaryota; Metazoa; Chordata; Mammalia; Diprotodontia; Phascolarctidae
Source: RefSeq, a predicted model, not a curated record